AGCACAAAAUUCUCAAACAAGGCGUGAGCCACCAUGCUCGGCCUAAUUUAAUGUCAUUUUAAAAUUAAAUUAAAGAGAUAGGGUCUUGCUCUGUCGCUCAGGCUGGUGUGCAGUGGUGUGAUCACGGUUCACCAUGGCCUCGCCCUCCAGGGUGCAAGCAAUCCUCUCACCUCAGCCUCUCAAGUAGCUGGAACCACAGGUGCUUGCCAUACAGCCCAGCUAAUUUUUAAUUUUAAUUUUAAUUUUUAUAGGGAUGUGGGUCUCAUUAUGUUGCCCAGGCUGGUCUUGAACUCUUGGUCUCAGGAGAUCCUCCUGCCUUAGCCACCCAAAGUUCUGGGGUUGUAGGUUUGAGCCAUCCAGCCCAGCCGGAAACAAACUUACUAAAUAAGUAACUAUGCUUUGAAAAUGCUUCAAAGACUGUAUUUUAAGCUUUAGGCUUCCUAAACUUAAUUCAAGCAGCAUAUUCAUCCCAAGUCAACUUCACUUUUGACAUAUUAGUGUCAUUUUGUAGAGGUACAGUUGUCUGGUCAACAAACAUAGGUUCCGGUUCAGGCUCUACUUAUAAUUAGCUGCGUGACCUUGCACGAAAAAGCUCUUAGAGACUAAAAAGCUCUACAGUUUUUCUAUGUGAAAAAUAAAGAUGACCUUAGCUGGCCUGCUUUCCUGUGAAUGUCU
Molecule: long non-coding RNA, 675 nt
Organism: Homo sapiens (human)
Lineage: Eukaryota; Metazoa; Chordata; Mammalia; Primates; Hominidae
Source: Ensembl